Non-coding RNA from Pelobates cultripes (western spadefoot toad), 137 nucleotides. NCBI's taxonomy places the organism in Eukaryota, Metazoa, Chordata, Amphibia, Anura, Pelobatidae. The record is from the annotation of a GenBank genome assembly.
AUGAAAGAGGUCCAGGCACUUCUUGGUUCAAGACAGGCACUUUUUUGGAACCACAACAGCAACGUUUCGACCCAAAGGUCUUUGUCAAGCUAUAAAGUGCCUGUCUUGAACCAAGGAGUGCCUGGACCUCUUUCAUU